UCGAGAAUCUUUCACAAUGGGGGAAACCCUGAUGGAGCGACGCCGCGUGGAGGAUAAGGUCUUCGGAUUGUAAACUCCUGUCAUGCGAGAACAAAGCCCUAUGGGUCUGAUAGUAUCGCAAGAGGAAGAGACGGCUAACUCUGUGCCAGCAGCCGCGGUAAUACAGAGGUCUCAAGCGUUGUUCGGAAUCACUGGGCGUAAAGGGUGUGUAGGCGGCGUGGAAAGUCAGGUGUGAAAUCCGGGGGCUCAACCCCCGAAUAGCACCCGAUACUGCCAUGCUCGAGGUCUGUAGAGGAGUCUGGAAUUUUCGGUGUAGCAGUGAAAUGCGUAGAUAUCGAAAGGAACACUUAUAGCGAAGGCAAGACUCUGGGCAGAAUCUGACGCUGAAACACGAAGGCCAGGGUAGCGAACGGGAUUAGAUACCCCCGUAGUCC
Molecule: ribosomal RNA, 434 nt
Filed under: uncultured bacterium
Lineage: Bacteria
Description: bacterial SSU rRNA
Rfam family: Bacterial small subunit ribosomal RNA
Source: RNAcentral